RNAcentral lists this ribosomal RNA (253 nucleotides) under uncultured bacterium. Its description in RNAcentral is "partial 16S ribosomal RNA". It matches the Rfam family "Bacterial small subunit ribosomal RNA", at positions 524 to 776 of the family's 1533-position model. The record is from RNAcentral.
UACAGAGGGGGCGAGCGUUAAUCGGAAUUACUGGGCGUAAAGCGUGCGUAGACGGUUAUCUAAGUCGGAUGUGAAAGCCCCGGGCUCAACCUGGGAAUUGCAUUCGAGACUGAAUAGCUAGGGUGCGGUAGAGGGAAGCGGAAUUUCCGGUGUAGCGGUGAAAUGCGUAGAUAUCCGGAAGAACACCUGAGGCGAAGGCGGCUUGCUGGGCAUGAUCUGACGCUGAGGCGCGAAAGCGUGGGGAGCAAACAGG